AUGAGUUGCCUAAAAGAUGUUCCGACACUUAGAGGUGACAAUCACACUGAGUGGAGGAAGAAAGUUGAACUGCCAUUUGUGUGUGCUGAUGUGGACUGGGUUUUGGAUGAACCACAGCCGGUCAGAUCUACAGAGCCAGUAAGAGAGGCCACUGAUGAUGAUGCUACGUGGGCUAAAAAGAGGGAAGAUUAUGCUCCCUUGGAGAUGUCAUACAUCAUAGAAAACCAAAAGUGGGUCAAUGCAAACAAAAAGUGUAUGGCAUUUAUAAAGAAUACAAUUGAGAGCACCAUUGUAGACUCCAUUGCAGAGUGCACUUCCGCAGGGGAGUUGCUUUCAAAGAUAAAGAGCUAG
RNAcentral lists this ribosomal RNA (351 nucleotides) under Triticum aestivum (bread wheat). RNAcentral's name for it is "partial small subunit ribosomal RNA". The record is from RNAcentral. Lineage: Eukaryota; Viridiplantae; Streptophyta; Magnoliopsida; Poales; Poaceae.